This 325-nucleotide ribosomal RNA is filed under the name uncultured eukaryote. Its description in RNAcentral is "partial 18S ribosomal RNA". It matches the Rfam family "Eukaryotic small subunit ribosomal RNA", at positions 1470 to 1796 of the family's 1831-position model. The record is from RNAcentral.
CCCUUAGAUGUUCUGGGCCGCACGCGCGCUACACUGAUGCAUUCAACGAGUCUAAAACCUGGUCUGAUAGGGCUGGGUAAUCUUUUGAAUGUGCAUCGUGAUUGGGAUAGAUGAUUGCAAUUCUUCAUCUUCAACGAGGAAUGCCUAGUAAACGCAAGUCAUCAGCUUGCAUUGAUUACGUCCCUGCCCUUUGUACACACCGCCCGUCGCUCCUACCGAUCGAAGAGUUAGGUGAAUUGUUUUGAUCGAUAAGAUUUGACUAUGGUCAACUCUCGUUGUGAAAUUCUGUGAACCUGACUGUUUAGAGGAAGGAAAAGUCGUAACA